RNAcentral lists this microRNA precursor (63 nucleotides) under Strongyloides ratti. RNAcentral's name for it is "microRNA str-mir-7880m precursor". The record is from miRBase by way of RNAcentral. Lineage: Eukaryota; Metazoa; Nematoda; Chromadorea; Rhabditida; Strongyloididae.
GGUCGGUAGAAGAAGCAAAUUAAAUAUUUUUGUAAAUUCAAUUUGCGCUCGAUACCUGACCAC